Long non-coding RNA from Homo sapiens (human), 781 nucleotides. Ensembl annotates it as LENG8 antisense RNA 1. Its record names the gene LENG8-AS1. The record is from Ensembl. NCBI's taxonomy places the organism in Eukaryota, Metazoa, Chordata, Mammalia, Primates, Hominidae.
CAUUCUGUACACAGAUACAGCGAUAAAAUGAAAUGACUGGAACUUAAAUGUGAAAACUCUUUACAAGGUUUCUCAUUCUGUCACCCAGGCUGGAGUGCAAUGAUGUGAUCUCUGUCUCAGCCCACAGCAGCUUCAACCUCCCAGGCUCAAGUGAUCCUCCUGCCUCAGCUACGCAGUGCUAGAGUGCAGUGGCAUGGUCUCGGCUCACUGCAACCUCCGCCUCCUGGGUUCAAGCGAUUCUCCUGCCUCAGCCUCCCGAGUAGCUGGGACUACAGGCGUGCGCCACCACGCCCAGCUAAUUUUUGUAUUUUUAGUAGAAACGGGGUUUCACCAUGUUGGCCAGGAUGAUCUCGAUCUCUUGACCUCGUGAUCCACCUGCCUUGGCCUUCCAAAGUGCUGGGAUUACAGGGUUCUCCAGAGGGCCAGAACUAACAGGAUAUAUGUAUAUAUUGAAAGGGAGUAUAUUAGGGAGAACUGGCUGACAGGAUCAUCAGGCAAAGUCCCACUAUAGUCCAUCUGCAAGCUGAGGAAGGAAGAAGCCAGUCACGUCUCAAAGUCCAAAAGCCUCAAAAGUAGGGAAGCCAACGGCGCAGCCUUCAGUCUGUGGCGGAAGGCCUAAGAGUCCCCGACAAACCACUGGUGGAAGUUCAAGAGUCCAAAGGCCAAAGAACCUGGAGUCUAAUCUCCAAAGACAGGAAGUAUCCAGCACAGGAGAAAGAUGAAAGCCAGAAGACUCAGCAAGCCAGCCCCUCCCACCUUCUGCGCUGACUGGAUGGUGCCC